Molecule: long non-coding RNA, 453 nt
Filed under: Nicotiana benthamiana
Lineage: Eukaryota; Viridiplantae; Streptophyta; Magnoliopsida; Solanales; Solanaceae
Description: long non-coding RNA (NBEN_LNC006021)
Source: RNAcentral
UUUAAAAUCGGUUCACCAAAUGUGAAAUCAGAUUGGGUGUAUGUGGACAAUCUUGUAUUGGCACUUCUAUUGGCUAGCAUGGGACUUUUGGACGACAUCCCUGGCAGAAAAGGGCAUCCAAUUGCUGCUGGUCAACCUUAUUUUAUAUCAGAUGGUAAUUACUCUAUUGGCUAGCAUGGGACUUUUGGAUGACAUCCCUGGCAGAAAAGGGCAUCCAAUUGCUGCUGGUCAACCUUAUUUUAUAUCAGAUGGUAAUUACUCUGUGUUAUAUUUGUUCUGUAGGAUUGUGAAGUCUUGGACCUAGUAGAGGUGUAAUUAUCGAUUAGGAUUAUGACUUCGGGAAUCUCCCCAGACUUAAGCAUGGAUCUUGGACCAAUUAAUUGCUUAUCAGAGUACAAAUUUUUCUCUGAGCAGAGCAUUUGUUACUUGCUGCAUCACCUUCCUACUUCAUUG